This 484-nucleotide ribosomal RNA is filed under the name uncultured bacterium. RNAcentral describes it as "partial 16S ribosomal RNA". It matches the Rfam family "Bacterial small subunit ribosomal RNA", at positions 30 to 507 of the family's 1533-position model. The record is from RNAcentral.
AUUGAACGCUGGCGGCAGGCCUAACACAUGCAAGUCGAGCGGAUGAAGGGAGCUUGCUCCUGGAUUCAGCGGCGGACGGGUGAGUAAUGCCUAGGAAUCUGCCUGGUAGUGGGGGAUAACGUCCGGAAACGGGCGCUAAUACCGCAUACGCCCUGAGGGAGAAAGUGGGGGAUCUUCGGACCUCACGCUAUCAGAUGAGCCUAGGUCGGAUUAGCUAGUUGGUAGGGUAAAGGCCUACCAAGGCGACGAUCCGUAACUGGUCUGAGAGGAUGAUCAGUCACACUGGAACUGAGACACGGUCCAGACUCCUACGGGAGGCAGCAGUGGGGAAUAUUGGACAAUGGGCGAAAGCCUGAUCCAGCCAUGCCGCGUGUGUGAAGAAGGUCUUCGGAUUGUAAAGCACUUUAAGUUGGGAGGAAGGGCAGUAAGUUAAUACCUUGCUGUUUUGACGUUACCAACAGAAUAAGCACCGGCUAACUUCGUG